RNAcentral lists this transfer RNA (69 nucleotides) under Hemiphyllodactylus sp. PLW-2016a. RNAcentral describes it as "partial tRNA-Trp". Lineage: Eukaryota; Metazoa; Chordata; Lepidosauria; Squamata; Gekkonidae. The record is from RNAcentral.
CAGAAAUUAUGAGGUUGUUAUACUCGUAYUUAGGGCUUUGAAGGCUCUUGGUUUUAUUAACCUAAACUU